RNAcentral lists this ribosomal RNA (152 nucleotides) under uncultured bacterium. Its description in RNAcentral is "partial 16S ribosomal RNA". It matches the Rfam family "Bacterial small subunit ribosomal RNA", at positions 356 to 525 of the family's 1533-position model. The record is from RNAcentral.
UGGGAAUAUUGCACAAUGGGGGGAACCCUGAUGCAGCAACGCCGCGUGAGCGAUGAAGGUCUUCGGAUUGUAAAGCUCUGUCUUCGCUGACGAUAAUGACGGUAAGCGAGGAGGAAGCCACGGCUAACUACGUGCCAGCAGCCGCGGUAAUA